GGCGUGGUGGAAUUGGUAUACACAGCAGACUUAAAAUCUGUUUUGUCAAGUCCUUUCUGCUUACGCCACCA
This 71-nucleotide transfer RNA is filed under the name Laribacter hongkongensis. RNAcentral's name for it is "tRNA-Leu". The record is from RNAcentral. Lineage: Bacteria; Pseudomonadati; Pseudomonadota; Betaproteobacteria; Neisseriales; Aquaspirillaceae.